This 2237-nucleotide unclassified non-coding RNA is filed under the name Hevea brasiliensis (rubber tree). The record is from RNAcentral. Lineage: Eukaryota; Viridiplantae; Streptophyta; Magnoliopsida; Malpighiales; Euphorbiaceae.
AAAAAAAAAAAAAAAAGAAGCUAAUGCUGCAUCAAUUAUAAUAAGAAGGCUCAUAACAUCUCUCUAGACAAUAGAUUAUAAACCUUUAAAUGAAUUUAUUGGCAACAUGAAGGCAAGUAAUGAUAGAAAUGAACAAUUUGAGGUGUCUUUUAUACUUGUUACUUAUUAGAGAAGAAAAACAUUGAGGGGAAGACUAAGAACUCACUUAAAUAAGAUUUGACAAAAUUCCUUAUUGUUUCCAAACUUUCCAUUCCAAGGGCCUUAAUAGGUGCAUGUGGCAUUGACAACUAAAUCUUAAACAAUCAUCUAGUGGAAAAGAUAAAUCGAAUGCAGAUUAAACCAACACUGGAACUCAAAAAUAGAAAGUCAAAAAGGUCUAUUUAGAGAAUCCCCUCAUGCGAUUGACUAAUUCAUGAUAUUACACCAUAGUUUGAAUUAACUGAUGCAUCUGAAACAUUGGAGGACAUGUACUAUUAUUAAAUAGUGAGUGGGUAGGAAGGUUUAUGCGUAUGCUGGGGAGGGCGGGGCUCAUAUGAAUGUAAAACAAGAAGCAACCAUCUCGAAUGCCAAAUAUUAGCUUGUAGCAGCAUUAAUAGCACAAGCACAAAGCAGGAAACACAAUUUUCUAAUAAAUAAAGACAAAUAUAUUCCAGCACACCACCAAAAAAGUUCUACAACCUUUCCAAAAAAGUACUGAUUUAGAGUCUAAACUAACUUCUAUAAAAUUCAAGUAGCAUCCAUCACAAAUCCAACCACAACUUAUUGGAAGCAGAUGAAGUGAAGCAGCAACAAAAGCACAGCAGUCCACAUAAUUAAACCAAAGAUUUCAUUGUCUGCAUUCACCAAAUCACGACAACCAUUUAAAGCAUUUGUGCCCAGGAAGCUCUCAUACACCAGAACCAAACACCUCAAUAAUAUGGUGGCAUGCCCUGAUACAUCCCUCCAGGUGGAACUCUAGGGGGCAAUGGUGAUGGCUGGUGUUGCUGAGACAGCCCAUAAGGGACACCAUCUGGAUAUCCCCCAGAAGCCAUUCCAACCGAACUUGGAGGCAUCCUAUACAUAGAAUUCCCAGCGCUGUUCAAUCCGCCAAACUCACCAGAACUUGGUCCCCCAAACUGUGAAACACCAUAGGGACCACCAUAGCCUCCACUACCAAUUGAACCUGGCAAUGAAGAAUUCAAACCAUAUCCACUACUACCCAAUCCAGAAAACCCUCCAUAGGUUGGCAAACUACCUGGAACACCAUACUGGGAACCAGGCAUUGAAGACUGUGGUUGUGGUGGUGGCUGUGGUUGUGCAUUAUCACCAACCACACCACCUUCCGUCUUAGCUUUUUUGUUAUCAACCGCCAUUUUGCAGAGAACCUGAUGGCCAUCAAUAAUCUUCAUAGGAUCAGCAAUGGCUGCCUUUGCACCCUCCUCAGUCUUGUAUAUAAUAAAAGCAAAACCCUUUGAUUUACCCGUCACCUUAUCAAACCCUAGAGGUCCCUCUUCAAUCUCUCCAUACGUCAAGAAAAACCCUAACAAUCUCUCUGAAGGUAUAUCAUACGGGACAUUCCCAACAUAAAUCUUCCUAGACCAAACAUCGCCACCACUAGAACCAGAAUUAGAUAGCCCGGCAGAGGCCAGCUGGGUAACAGUCAUCCUGCCGUCAAUUUUCUUGCUUGGUUCCUUCAACGCAAUUAAAGCACCGUCUACAUGUUUAAAUGUGAUGAACCCAAAUCCCUUGGAUUUUCCAGUGUUCUUAUCGAAGAUUACGACGGCCUCCUCGAGCUCGCCAUAAGAAGCAAAGAGAGAGCGGAUGGUCUCGGUGGUGGUGUUGGUGGAAAGGCCCCUGAUGAAGAGCUUGCGGAGGGAGAUGUCGCCGUCGGCUACGAUGCGGAUGGAGUCAAGGACGUCGGGGUGACGGACUGCAGCUGUUUGGAGGAUGUCGAGAAGCUGCUCCUUUGUGAAAGGGUCGAUUACCUUGCGGAUGUCUUGGGGGGUUAAGGCGGUUGAGGUGGCGGCGGUGGAGAGAGUAGGGAUUAUCGCGGUGCCAUUUUCGUCGGCUUUGCGCUUCUUUGUGAAGUCCAUAGUGGCAGAGACCAAGACAAGGAAGAUGGGUAAUGAAGUGGAAGAGGCUCAACAGCGAAUUUAUAGGCAGGAUUCCAGAUCAACCAAUUUGGGAACCCUGGUUACCGUCUUGUUUCGUCUCCAAACAGGCCGAAGAUUAGGAUUCACGAGAACCAACCUCAAUAA